GGGUUGUGAGGUUAAGCGACUAAGCGUACACGGUGGAUGCCCUGGCAGUCAGAGGCGAUGAAGGACGUGCUAAUCUGCGAUAAGCGCCGGUAAGGUGAUAUGAACCGUUAUAACCGGCGAUUUCCGAAUGGGGAAACCCAGUGUGAUUCGUCACACUAUCAUUAACUGAAUCCAUAGGUUAAUGAGGCGAACCGGGGGAACUGAAACAUCUAAGUACCCCGAGGAAAAGAAAUCAACCGAGAUUCCCCCAGUAGCGGCGAGCGAACGGGGAGGAGCCCAGAGCCUGAAUCAGCAUGUGUGUUAGUGGAAGCGUCUGGAAAGGCGCGCGAUACAGGGUGACAGCCCCGUACACAAAAGCGCAUGUGCUGUGAGCUCGAUGAGUAGGGCGGGACACGUGGUAUCCUGUCUGAAUAUGGGGGGACCAUCCUCCAAGGCUAAAUACUCCUGACUGACCGAUAGUGAACCAGUACCGUGAGGGAAAGGCGAAAAGAACCCCGGCGAGGGGAGUGAAAAAGAACCUGAAACCGUGUACGUACAAGCAGUGGGAGCACAGGUUUACCUGUGUGACUGCGUACCUUUUGUAUAAUGGGUCAGCGACUUAUAUUCUGUAGCAAGGUUAACCGUAUAGGGGAGCCGGAGGGAAACCGAGUCUUAACCGGGCGUUAAGUUGCAGGGUAUAGACCCGAAACCCGGUGAUCUAGCCAUGGGCAGGUUGAAGGUUGGGUAACACUAACUGGAGGACCGAACCGACUAAUGUUGAAAAAUUAGCGGAUGACCUGUGGCUGGGGGUGAAAGGCCAAUCAAACCGGGAGAUAGCUGGUUCUCCCCGAAAGCUAUUUAGGUAGCGCCUCGUGAAUUCAUCUCCGGGGGUAGAGCACUGUUUCGGCUAGGGGGCCAUCCCGGCUUACCAACCCGAUGCAAACUGCGAAUACCGGAGAAUGUUAUCACGGGAGACACACGGCGGGUGCUAACGUCCGUCGUGAAGAGGGAAACAACCCAGACCGCCAGCUAAGGUCCCAAAGUCAUGGUUAAGUGGGAAACGAUGUGGGAAGGCCCAGACAGCCAGGAUGUUGGCUUAGAAGCAGCCAUCAUUUAAAGAAAGCGUAAUAGCUCACUGGUCGAGUCGGCCUGCGCGGAAGAUGUAACGGGGCUAAACCAUGCACCGAAGCUGCGGCAGCGACACUCAGGUGUUGUUGGGUAGGGGAGCGUUCUGUAAGCCUGUGAAGGUGGCCUGUGAGGGUUGCUGGAGGUAUCAGAAGUGCGAAUGCUGACAUAAGUAACGAUAAAGCGGGUGAAAAGCCCGCUCGCCGGAAGACCAAGGGUUCCUGUCCAACGUUAAUCGGGGCAGGGUGAGUCGACCCCUAAGGCGAGGCCGAAAGGCGUAGUCGAUGGGAAACGGGUUAAUAUUCCCGUACUUGGUGUUACUGCGAAGGGGGGACGGAGAAGGCUAUGUUGGCCGGGCGACGGUUGUCCCGGUUUAAGCGUGUAGGUGUGUGUUCCAGGUAAAUCCGGUUCACUUUAACACUGAGGCGUGACGACGAGGCACUACGGUGCUGAAGCAACAAAUGCCCUGCUUCCAGGAAAAGCCUCUAAGCAUCAGGUAACAUCAAAUCGUACCCCAAACCGACACAGGUGGUCAGGUAGAGAAUACCAAGGCGCUUGAGAGAACUCGGGUGAAGGAACUAGGCAAAAUGGUGCCGUAACUUCGGGAGAAGGCACGCUGACACGUAGGUGAAGUGAUUUACUCAUGGAGCUGAAGUCAGUCGAAGAUACCAGCUGGCUGCAACUGUUUAUUAAAAACACAGCACUGUGCAAACACGAAAGUGGACGUAUACGGUGUGACGCCUGCCCGGUGCCGGAAGGUUAAUUGAUGGGGUCAGCGCAAGCGAAGCUCCUGAUCGAAGCCCCGGUAAACGGCGGCCGUAACUAUAACGGUCCUAAGGUAGCGAAAUUCCUUGUCGGGUAAGUUCCGACCUGCACGAAUGGCGUAAUGAUGGCCAGGCUGUCUCCACCCGAGACUCAGUGAAAUUGAACUCGCUGUGAAGAUGCAGUGUACCCGCGGCAAGACGGAAAGACCCCGUGAACCUUUACUAUAGCUUGACACUGAACAUUGAGCCUUGAUGUGUAGGAUAGGUGGGAGGCUUUGAAGUGUGGACGCCAGUCUGCAUGGAGCCGACCUUGAAAUACCACCCUUUAAUGUUUGAUGUUCUAACGUGGACCCG
This 2222-nucleotide ribosomal RNA is filed under the name Salmonella enterica subsp. enterica serovar Sendai. RNAcentral's name for it is "partial 23S ribosomal RNA". It matches the Rfam family "Bacterial large subunit ribosomal RNA", at positions 1 to 2235 of the family's 2925-position model. The record is from RNAcentral. Lineage: Bacteria; Pseudomonadati; Pseudomonadota; Gammaproteobacteria; Enterobacterales; Enterobacteriaceae.